RNAcentral lists this ribosomal RNA (402 nucleotides) under uncultured bacterium. RNAcentral's name for it is "bacterial SSU rRNA". It matches the Rfam family "Bacterial small subunit ribosomal RNA", at positions 41 to 488 of the family's 1533-position model. The record is from RNAcentral.
GGCACGCCUAACACAUGCAAGUCGAACGAAGUAGCAAUACUUAGUGGCAGACGGGUGAGUAACAUGUGGGUAUCUACCCUUUGGCCUGGAAUAACACGAGGAAACUUGUGCUAAUACCGGAUAAGUCUUUACGGAGAAAGCUUUAUGCACCAUUGGAUGAGCCCGCACUAGAUUAGUUUGUUGGUGGGGUAAUGGCCUACCAAGACUGUGAUCUAUAGCUGAUUUGAGAGGAUGAUCAGCCACAUUGGGACUGAGACACGGCCCAAACUCCUACGGGAGGCAGCAGUGGGGAAUCUUGCACAAUGGAGGAAACUCUGAUGCAGCGAUGCCGCGUGAGUGAAGAAGGCCUUUGGGUUGUAAAGCUCUUUCGUCGGGGAAGAAAAUGACUGUACCCGAAUAAGA